RNAcentral lists this ribosomal RNA (253 nucleotides) under uncultured bacterium. Its description in RNAcentral is "partial 16S ribosomal RNA". It matches the Rfam family "Bacterial small subunit ribosomal RNA", at positions 524 to 776 of the family's 1533-position model. The record is from RNAcentral.
AACGUAGGGGGCUAGCGUUGCCCGGAUUCACUGGGCGUAAAGCGGGUGUAGGCGGUUCUUUAAGUCGGAUGUGAAAUCCAGCGGCCCAACCGCUGAAUUGCAUCCGAUACUGGGGAACUUGAGGACGGUAGAGGUCGGUGGAAUAUCCGGUGUACCGGUGAAAUGGACAGAUAUCGGAUGGAACACCAGUGGCGAAGGCGGCCGACUGGGCCGAUCCUGACGCUGAGGCCCGAAAGCUAGGGUAGCGAACCGG